This 465-nucleotide ribosomal RNA is filed under the name Vreelandella stevensii. RNAcentral describes it as "partial 16S ribosomal RNA". It matches the Rfam family "Bacterial small subunit ribosomal RNA", at positions 338 to 795 of the family's 1533-position model. The record is from RNAcentral. Lineage: Bacteria; Pseudomonadati; Pseudomonadota; Gammaproteobacteria; Oceanospirillales; Halomonadaceae.
CCUACGGGUGGCAGCAGUGGGGAAUAUUGGACAAUGGGCGAAAGCCUGAUCCAGCCAUGCCGCGUGUGUGAAGAAGGCCUUCGGGUUGUAAAGCACUUUCAGUGGGGAAGAAAGCCUUGGGGCUAAUACCCUCGAGGAAGGACAUCACCCACAGAAGAAGCACCGGCUAACUCCGUGCCAGCAGCCGCGGUAAUACGGAGGGUGCGAGCGUUAAUCGGAAUUACUGGGCGUAAAGCGCGCGUAGGCGGUCUGAUAAGCCGGUUGUGAAAGCCCCGGGCUCAACCUGGGAACGGCAUCCGGAACUGGCAGGCUAGAGUGCAGGAGAGGGAGGUGGAAUUCCCGGUGUAGCGGUGAAAUGCGUAGAGAUCGGGAGGAAUACCAGUGGCGAAGGCGGCCUCCUGGACCGACACUGACGCUGAGGCGCGAAAGCGUGGGUAGCAAACAGGAUUAGAUACCCCUGUAGUC